GGAAUUUUCCGCAAUGGGCGCAAGCCUGACGGAGCAACGCCGCGUGGGGGAUGACGCUUUUCGGAGUGUAAACCCCUUUUCUCAGGGAAGAAGAGCUUCGGCUUUGACGGUACCUGAGGAAGAAGGACCGGCUAACUACGUGCCAGCAGCCGCGGUAAUACGUAGGGUCCGAGCGUUGUCCGGAGUUACUGGGCGUAAAGCGCGCGCAGGCGGCUCGUUAAGACCGGCGUGAAAGCCCCCGGCUCAACCGGGGAGGGUCGUUGGUGACUGGCGAGCUUGAAGACAGCAGGGGCAGGUGGAAUUCCCGGUGUAGUGGUGAAAUGCGUAGAGAUCGGGAGGAACACCCGUGGCGAAGGCGGCCUGCUGGGCUGAUCUUGACGCUGAGGCGCGAAGGCGUGGGGAGCGAA
This 407-nucleotide ribosomal RNA is filed under the name uncultured bacterium. RNAcentral's name for it is "bacterial SSU rRNA". It matches the Rfam family "Bacterial small subunit ribosomal RNA", at positions 358 to 772 of the family's 1533-position model. The record is from RNAcentral.